RNAcentral lists this ribosomal RNA (526 nucleotides) under uncultured bacterium. RNAcentral describes it as "bacterial SSU rRNA". It matches the Rfam family "Bacterial small subunit ribosomal RNA", at positions 20 to 518 of the family's 1533-position model. The record is from RNAcentral.
UGGCUCAGGACGAACGCUGGCGGCGUGCCUAAUACAUGCAAGUCGAACGGCUUUUCUAUGGAAGCUUGCUUCCACUGAGAAGAUAGUGGCGAACGGGUGAGUAACACGUGGGUAACCUGCCCAUAAGAGGGGGGAUAACAUCCGGAAACGGGUGCUAAUACCGCAUAGUUUUCUUGAUCGCAUGAUUGAGAGAGGAAAGACGGCCUUUGUGCUGUCGCUUAUGGAUGGACCCGCGGCGUAUUAGUUAGUUGGUGAGGUAACGGCUCACCAAGACGAUGAUACGUAGCCGACCUGAGAGGGUGAUCGGCCACAUUGGGACUGAGACACGGCCCAAACUCCUACGGGAGGCAGCAGUAGGGAAUCUUCCGCAAUGGACGAAAGUCUGACGGAGCAACGCCGCGUGAGUGAAAGAAGGUUUUCGGAUCGUAAAACUCUGUUGUCAGAGAAGAACAAGUUGGAGAGUAACUGCUCCAGCCUUGACGGUAUCUGACCAGAAAGCCACGGCUAACUACGUGCCAGCCGCCGC